This 570-nucleotide ribosomal RNA is filed under the name uncultured fungus. RNAcentral's name for it is "eukaryotic LSU rRNA". The stretch from base 208 to 361 matches the Rfam family "5.8S ribosomal RNA". Lineage: Eukaryota; Fungi. The record is from RNAcentral.
CGUAACAAGGUCUCCGUAGGUGAACCUGCGGAGGGAUCAUUACACAAAUAUGAAGGCGGGCUGGAACCUCUCGGGGUUACAGCCUUGCUGAAUUAUUCACCCUUGUCUUUUGCGUACUUCUUGUUUCCUUGGUGGGUUCGCCCACCACUAGGACAAACAUAAACCUUUUGUAAUUGCAAUCAGCGUCAGUAACAAAUUAAUAAUUACAACUUUCAACAACGGAUCUCUUGGUUCUGGCAUCGAUGAGGAACGCAGCGAAAUGCGAUAAGUAGUGUGAAUUGCAGAAUUCAGUGAAUCAUCGAAUCUUUGAACGCACAUUGCGCCCUUUGGUAUUCCAAAGGGCAUGCCUGUUCGAGCGUCAUUUGUACCCUCAAGCUUUGCUUGGUGUUGGGCGUCUUGUCUCUAGCUUUGCUGGAGACUCGCCUUAAAGUAAUUGGCAGCCGGCCUACUGGUUUCGGAGCGCAGCACAAGUCGCACUCUCUAUCAGCAAAGGUCUAGCAUCCAUUAAGCCUUUUUUUCAACUUUUGACCUCGGAUCAGGUAGGGAUACCCGCUGAACUUAGGCAUAUCA